RNAcentral lists this long non-coding RNA (309 nucleotides) under Parus major (Great Tit). RNAcentral describes it as "lncRNA (ENSPMJG00000003256.1)". Lineage: Eukaryota; Metazoa; Chordata; Aves; Passeriformes; Paridae. The record is from RNAcentral.
UUGGAGCCCCAUUUACAGAGACAAAUGGGGAGAGGGAGGAAGUCCAAGGACUAAGCUGAAGGAGAAGAAAACAUGCUUGGAUAACGUGCUGCACACUGGUGGGACUGGUGGGAGUGAUGGAGGAGAGAGCUGAGCAGAGAAACGACAGCACAGUUUGGACACAUCUCUGAGGAGCCAGAGCAGAGCUGCCUGCACUGGAUACAGUCAUGGUAUCUGCAGCACAGCAAUUGUAUGCAAGAAAAUAAUUGUUCCUACCAGUGGCAAUAAUGAGGACGAAGAAAAUUCAGCAAGGAGAAUAACAAUUAAGGU